Long non-coding RNA from Oreochromis niloticus (Nile tilapia), 1211 nucleotides. RefSeq lists it as uncharacterized. Lineage: Eukaryota; Metazoa; Chordata; Actinopteri; Cichliformes; Cichlidae. The record is from RefSeq and is a predicted model, not a curated record. The transcript is spliced from 3 exons.
AGGUUAAUUGGGAACCCACCUGCGUAUUGAUUGCAGGGUGGCGUCAGCCCGUAUAAAGCUAAGCCGGUGUUUGUCUGGAUCAUUCCUCCUGUGCAUUUGGCGCAAAGCAGCAGUAAAUGCUGGCACACUGCGACGGACUGAUCAGCAAGAGUAGAUCAUAUGACAGCCACAGCGGGCAGUUUCUGUUUUAUUUCGGCGUUGCGGAGAGAGGUGCCCGUGUUAUCCCCACCAGUGAGAGUAUAGCGCCUCUGGUCCUGGGGGUUUGAUUGCUGUAUUCACCUCUCCGUGGCAAAUCGCCCAACCUAAAUCGGAAGAGUGAAACGCCUUCCCAGCCGCUGUUGUGAGGACUCCUCCUCGGUGGAGCCUGCUCUCUUGUCUUGUCUUGUCUUAUCCUGUUUUAUCUUGUCGUGAGACUGUUUUUUAUUAAGUAGGCCUACCUUUUCCUGGUUCGCCUGGUUUUUAUUUUAUUCUGGACUGUCGCUUGGACCCACGCUUCUGUGAUCGGGCUGAAGCGAUCCUCUGCCCGAGUGUAGUGCCGGGAAUUCUAAAUCGCCUCAGUUGCCAGUCUCAGCCUGUGGGGAGCCAGACCAGCUUGCGAUUGAGGCUUGGAUAAUUACUACCAGCACGAGUGGUAGUUUGAUCCGUGGGGCAUAAGCCUUCCAGUGUGGGGUGUGUGUGUGUGCGCAUGUGUGAUUUCUUUUAUUAAAGUGUGUUAGUUUUUUUUAUGAUCUGUAGCGAGCCAGACGCUCAGUGUCCUUUUAUUCUUUUAACGUAUUUUUUUGUGUUUUAUUUCAGUGAACAGAGGACGUGCCAGUGGCCCUGGGACCUCAGGGACCUCUUUUGUACAGCACCAGGUGGGCUGCAGUGAUUUUCUUUGUGUGAUUUUCUUUUGGGUCCACGGCUGCUGGUAAGUCCAAGUUCUAUCAUUGUUUUAUUGUACUUUUAGGACACUGUCAACAAAGAUGCUACAUUUUGUUUUCUUAAUAUUUUAUUCUUUAUUUCUUUUACCAUAAAUAAAACUGUUUUAAUAUUGGAGCCAACCUGCCUCUAUGUGCAUCCUUGAAUCUGUGCGGCCUCUUUUUAUUCCUUUUAUCUAUUUUUCUUAAAUAUAUUUCCUGGGGGUUGUCAGGAGGAGUAAAGUGUUAUGCUGCUAUUAUUUGCUGCUAUUUUUAUGAUCAUUAUUACUAUUCCAUUAAUUAUUAAUAUUGAUA